UAAUGUCUGGGAAACUGCCUGAUGGAGGGGGAUAACUACUGGAAACGGUAGCUAAUACCGCAUAACGUCGCAAGACCAAAGAGGGGGACCUUCGGGCCUCUUGCCAUCGGAUGUGCCCAGAUGGGAUUAGCUAGUAGGUGGGGUAACGGCUCACCUAGGCGACGAUCCCUAGCUGGUCUGAGAGGAUGACCAGCCACACUGGAACUGAGACACGGUCCAGACUCCUACGGGAGGCAGCAGUGGGGAAUAUUGCACAAUGGGCGCAAGCCUGAUGCAGCCAUGCCGCGUGUAUGAAGAAGGCCUUCGGGUUGUAAAGUACUUUCAGCGGGGAGGAAGGGAGUAAAGUUAAUACCUUUGCUCAUUGACGUUACCCGCAGAAGAAGCACCGGCUAACUCCGUGCCAGCAGCCGCGGUAAUACGGAGGGUGCAAGCGUUAAUCGGAAUUACUGGGCGUAAAGCGCACGCAGGCGGUUUGUUAAGUCAGAUGUGAAAUCCCCGGGCUCAACCUGGGAACUGCAUCUGAUACUGGCAAGCUUGAGUCUCGUAGAGGGGGGUAGAAUUCCAGGUGUAGCGGUGAAAUGCGUAGAGAUCUGGAGGAAUACCGGUGGCGAAGGCGGCCCCCUGGACGAAGACUGACGCUCAGGUGCGAAAGCGUGGGGAGCAAACAGGAUU
Molecule: ribosomal RNA, 672 nt
Filed under: Shigella flexneri
Lineage: Bacteria; Pseudomonadati; Pseudomonadota; Gammaproteobacteria; Enterobacterales; Enterobacteriaceae
Description: bacterial SSU rRNA
Rfam family: Bacterial small subunit ribosomal RNA
Source: RNAcentral